This 481-nucleotide ribosomal RNA is filed under the name uncultured bacterium. RNAcentral's name for it is "partial 16S ribosomal RNA". It matches the Rfam family "Bacterial small subunit ribosomal RNA", at positions 28 to 507 of the family's 1533-position model. The record is from RNAcentral.
GAUGAACGCUGGCGGCGUGCUUAACACAUGCCAGUCGAACGAAGCACUUUAUUUGAUUUCCUUCGGGACUGAUUAUUUUGUGACUGAGUGGCGGACGGGUGAGUAACGCGUGGGUAACCUGCCUUGUACAGGGGGAUAAUAGUUGGAAACGGCUGCUAAUACCGCAUAAGCGCACAGCAUCGCAUGAUGCAGUGUGAAAAACUCCGGUGGUAUAAGAUGGACCCGCGUUGGAUUAGCUAGUUGGUGAGGUAACGGCCCACCAAGGCGACGAUCCAUAGCCGACCUGAGAGGGUGACCGGCCACAUUGGGACUGAGACACGGCCCAAACUCCUACGGGAGGCAGCAGUGGGGAAUAUUGCACAAUGGGCGAAAGCCUGAUGCAGCGACGCCGCGUGAGCGAAGAAGUAUUUCGGUAUGUAAAGCUCUAUCAGCAGGGAAGAUAAUGACGGUACCUGACUAAGAAGCACCGGCUAAAUACGUG